AUGGGCUUCCCCGUGGGAUACUCGGAGCUGCUGCUCCCCCGGCUGCUCCUGCAGGCGCUCCUCCUCCUCGGCCACCUCCACCGCUUCCUCCUCUGGGCCUUCCACGCCGUGGGCCUGGGCGACCUCAUCGACCUCGGCGGCAGCGCGCCCACGGCGGAGGAGGCGCAGUGGCACGCGCACCACGGGGCAGCGCCCUCGCCCUCGCUGCAGCACCGGCGGCCCGACUUCCGCGCGCUGCCGCCGAUGGCCGCCGUCGAGGAGGCGCUCCCCGUGCUGCGGUUCGACGAGCUGGUGGCGUCCUCCCCGUCCGUGUGCGGGGACGGCGACUGCGCCGUCUGCCUCUGCGGCAUCGGCGGCGGCGACGAGGUGCGGCGGCUGUCCAACUGCCGCCACGUCUUCCACCGCGGCUGCAUCGACCGCUGGAUGGGGCACCAGCAGCGCACCUGCCCGCUCUGCCGCGCCCCGCUCAUGCCCGGCGACGCGCUCUCGGCCGACCUCCCGGACGCCUCCGACUACGACAUGUCCUACCCGUCCCCGCUGCCGCUGGCGGCCACCCCCACCCUGCUGCGCCCGCACGAGCUGCUGCUCAACGGCCUGGGCGGCUUCCAGUGA
RNAcentral lists this ribosomal RNA (612 nucleotides) under Triticum aestivum (bread wheat). Its description in RNAcentral is "partial small subunit ribosomal RNA". The record is from RNAcentral. Lineage: Eukaryota; Viridiplantae; Streptophyta; Magnoliopsida; Poales; Poaceae.